This 429-nucleotide ribosomal RNA is filed under the name Chloroflexota bacterium. RNAcentral's name for it is "Chloroflexi bacterium partial 16S ribosomal RNA". It matches the Rfam family "Bacterial small subunit ribosomal RNA", at positions 355 to 776 of the family's 1533-position model. The record is from RNAcentral. Lineage: Bacteria; Bacillati; Chloroflexota.
UGGGGAAUAUUGCACAAUGGGCGCAAGCCUGAUGCAGCCAUGCCGCGUGUAUGAAGAAGGCCUUCGGGUUGUAAAGUACUUUCAGCGGGGAGGAAGGGAGUAAAGUUAAUACCUUUGCUCAUUGACGUUACCCGCAGAAGAAGCACCGGCUAACUCCGUGCCGGCAGCCGCGGUAAUACGGAGGGUGCAAGCGUUAAUCGGAAUUACUGGGCGUAAAGCGCACGCAGGCGGUCUGUCAAGUCGGAUGUGAAAUCCCCGGGCUCAACCUGGGAACUGCAUUCGAAACUGACAGGCUAGAGUCUUGUAGAGGGGGGUAGAAUUCCAGGUGUGGCGGUGAAAUGCGUAGAGAUCUGGAGGAAUACCGGUGGCGAAGGCGGCCCCCUGGACAAAGACUGACGCUCAGGUGCGAAAGCGUGGGGAGCAAACAGG